This 484-nucleotide ribosomal RNA is filed under the name uncultured bacterium. RNAcentral describes it as "partial 16S ribosomal RNA". It matches the Rfam family "Bacterial small subunit ribosomal RNA", at positions 30 to 507 of the family's 1533-position model. The record is from RNAcentral.
AUUGAACGCUGGCGGAAUGCUUUACACAUGCAAGUCGAGCGGCAGCACGGGGGCAACCCUGGUGGCGAGCGGCGAACGGGUGAGUAAUACAUCGGAACAUGCCCAGUCGUGGGGGAUAACACUUCGAAAGAAGUGCUAAUACCGCAUACGUCCUGAGGGAGAAAGCGGGGGAUCGCAAGACCUCGCGCGUUUGGAGUGGCCGAUGUCAGAUUAGCUAGUUGGUGGGGUAAAGGCCUACCAAGGCAACGAUCUGUAGCUGGUCUGAGAGGAUGAUCAGCCACACUGGGACUGAGACACGGCCCAGACUCCUACGGGAGGCAGCAGUGGGGAAUUUUGGACAAUGGGGGCAACCCUGAUCCAGCCAUUCCGCGUGAGUGAAGAAGGCCUUCGGGUUGUAAAGCUCUUUCGGCAGGAACGAAACGGCGAGCUCUAACAUAGCUUGCUAAUGACGGUACCUGAAGAAGAAGCACCGGCUAACUACGUG